GCUGUGAAGAUGGUUGAAAUGACAACAACGGACUUAGACUACUCCAUAAACUGAGCUAAGCAGCGUGGGGCUUGAGAGGCUGAGUCCGACUUUGAAAGAAGUUCUAAUGUGGGGAAAACGCAAUCAGCAUUGCAUGCUACAGAGAAAUCGUGCAUGACAGGAAGAGUUAAUCGAUUUGGUAGCCUUCGUCGUGGUCUUAUUUUAAGAAAUUGCCACAGCCAGCCCAGCCUUCAGCAGCCCCCACCCUGAUCCAUCAGCAGCAUCAAUGUGCAGGCAGGACCCUCCACCAGCAAAAAGACUGUGACUCACUAAAGCCUCAGAUGAUUGUUCAACCUCUUUAGCAAGAAAAUAUUUUUUAAAAUUAAGACUGGGGAGUAAUUCUAACUCCCGUGACUUCGUCGUGCCUCGAAGUAGAAGUCUAGACAUCUGGAUUUGGACAUCUGGAUUCAUCCCUUGCUGUAUCCUCUAGGUUCUUUAAGGACACCGUCAAAGAUGGUGACCGACGCAGACCCUUGUAAAACGUCACAAGACUGGCAUACUUGUAGGUGAUAAGGACGGAGAAAUAAAACAUAGGAUCUCAGCCCGGCCUUACAGGGUUGCCUUCGCAGAGUCCCAUAAAUUGCGUGGCUGAAACAGAAGUAAGGAUUCUGAAGGCUUGGACUCUGGAGUCAAGUCGCAGGUAAGCCUCGACCUGCAGGUGCCCUUCCUUCCUCUUCUCAGCUCCGGGUCCUGGACUGGCAUCUUUGGCCUGUUCAGGCUUUCGCAGUAUCUGCCCAUGGCUUUCCUCCUGUGUGACUGUCUUCUUAUAAGGACACCGAUCAUACUGGAUUAAGGGCCAGCCUGAAUCGAGUGUAACCUCCUCGUAAGUAAUCACAUCUGCAGUGACUCUGUGUCCACGUCGGGUCACAUUCCGAGGGGCUUCAAAUGCACGUUAGGACCUCCACGGAUCUUUUCCGGAGAACACAGUUCGCCCGCCGAGAGCCCUCAUGCGCCAGUGACAUCCGUCGCGCCGAGAGGAGAAGAAAGUGCCUCUUCUGGGACGGAAGCCGGGUCUGGGUGGCUGACACUCUGCUGGCGGGAGAUGGGGAGCCCCAGGGAACACAGGCCAUCUUCUCUGCAGGCUCCGUGCCCUCUGCUCACUGGGGACCCCCUCUGUCCUCCCAGUGGGACAGAGUGGAGGCGUCCCUGACCAAAGGAGGCCUCCAGCGACGUUGACGGCGCUCCCGACCCGGGCCUCAAGUUUGCCGCCACGCCCAGGGCCUGUGGCUUCAGGACGAAGGCCCGUUUGGAGUGAGCCCCGCAGGGGACGGGAGGAGGGCCUCUCGCUCCUGUCUGCUCUCCGGUUGGUUUGCCAGGAGCGUGUCUCCUGUGACAAGAGCCGCUCCCACUUCGCGCAGCAGCCCGCGGACCGGGGCUCUCAAGUGACUGGGGAGGCAGAUGGGAGAGAAGCCGCCAGAGGAUGCUUUCCCGACCAUCUGGAGAAAAGACCACGAAGCGCUUUCGCAGGAAAGAGUGCGCUCACGCCCUUGCGGGUGAGCGCCCGACGUGGCGGGAGGUGGGAAACAAACGCGCCUCGCAGCCCGCGUUUCCUCGAGGGCUGCUGCCGGGAGCUGAGCGUCCGGAGGAGCAGGGAGGCUGUUUACACAACAGACUGCUUCGUGUGCCUGAGCUGCUCCACUGACAGCGGCUGCUCGAAGGCCGAUCAGGGGUCCCUCUUUUCUUGAAGGGUGGUAAUUCAUCGGCUUGCGCUGGGAGAGUCCAGGUCAGGGUGAGAAAGAGGCUUUGGAAGUCGGGUGCCCGGGUCUCAGCUGGGGCAGCUCCGUGUCUCCGCUGGUCAGGUGUGGAGUCAGGGCUUCAGCAGCCGGGCCGGAGCUGCUGGGCUGGUGCUCUUGAGCCCCUGGUUCCCAACUCAGACCCGCUAGGCCUGUUCUGUAACCCCCCCAACCCGCGGUUCCCGAGAAGGCGGGGGCGGGGAGAACAUGCAGAAGGGAGUCCUAGGUCCUCCAGGAGGGAGAAGGAGUAGGCCUUCUUCUCGGUGAUGUUUGUGCUCCGAGUUCCCGUGCACGUGAGGUUCGGCUGCGUAGCACGUGCAGUGCACCAAGUGGGGGACCUGCCACCCACUGGAAACGAGGGCAUCACUGCUUCCCAGGGAGAGAACAGGGCUGUGCUUUCUCUCUGCUUCUCUGCUUUUUGUUUCACAAGGCGUUGGGUGUGGGGCUUGUGCGUGGCAGGGAGGCAGGGGGACAGGGGGACACUGGGAGCCUGUGGGCCCCCAGCCUGGGUAGCCUUUUCGGGAGUCUAACCCAGCUCGGUGCUUCAGGAGGCGGGCGGGCCCUGCCUCCCUCCGCCUCCCCUGCUGCCCCAGUCUCAUCCUGGGGGGUCAGGAGAACUGGUCCAGGGUCACCUCGUCUGGAACACUUCCUGGUCCAUUCUGAGGGCACCUCAGGAGUGAGGUGACGUUUCCAGACCCCAGGGCGUCUGUGGACAGAGAUGGACCAACAGAGCCCCCCCUGAACUGCUCUGAUGAGCCUCCGCCCAGGCCUCUGCUCCAGGUCGGCCCUCCGAGAUGCCCUGACCUGCCUCCCUCUGCGAUACCCUCACCUGUCCCCACUGCCCUGCCUGGCCGGCCGGGGUUCCAGCCCUUGUGCUAGAGGCACAGACGCCUUUUGUAUAGAAAGCGUAAAGAGGCAGCUCCGUGUCACGUGUCAUUAGUUUCACAAGGAGAACUGUAGAAGCUGUGGCUUUGACAGUUUCCCAGGAUCUCUCACAAUCACUUUUUCUCUUGCUUCCACGGCUUAAAGCCAGCCCCCCCCCCACCCCCCGAGACAUCUGUUGGGAACCGCAUGGUCGCAUUGCCUGCUCUGUUUUCCGUAUUUAUGUAGGCGUAAGUAUCAGCCUUGCUCUGGCUGGAGCCGGCCCACAUUAGAGAGAGAGAUGGGUCAGGAGGAAAAUCCCGAAGCUUGGACGCUCUGCUCACCUGCCACGUUCAUCGUUCCGUGGGAGCUGAAUGAGCAGGCUCCCCGCCCCGGUGAGUUUGGGAGGAAAGUUAAUUUUCACCGCUGGAUCGAUGAUCAGAUUUCACGGGUCUGGUAUGUUUAAUGUAACGUGGGCCUGCGGAGCACCGACUGUGUGCCACGCACGGUGCAGGGUGCUCGGCCCGAGCUGAGCCACGCAUCAUUCCUGUCCCCAGGGCUCAUUAUGACAGAGCCCCCGGGGAGCUGAGGGUUUGCACUUCAACCCAGAGAAUCAGCUCACACUCCUGACGGGCUGAGCCUGAGCCUCCCUGAGACUCUGCCCCGUCAGCCCCUGUGGCGACCUGCUGACUCUUCCACGGCAGGAACAGGAGCUCCUGGGAUUUGCCAGCAGCCGGGACUGAACAUAUGGCAACAGAUAACUCGACUGACACCUGGGUGGCUCUUGAGUGUUUGUGGCAUUUUCUAAUCAUCACGCCUAUAAUGUGGUCAUGAUAGAUGCUACUUCCAUUUUACUGAUAACAAAAUUGAGGCUCAGAUAAUGUCACACGGCUCCCCCAAGUCAGGCGCCAGGACAGCAGGGACAGAGCUGGACUGGGACUAAGUCUGGUAAUUACUCCUUCCCCACCCUGUUUUUCUUGCUGCAUUUUAUUCAAACCUAUUAAUUGGGCAAUGAUCAUUUAAAACUAUUAAUAAUAGUCUUGUUUGUGUUUAUGGUAGAGAAAAUACUACUUCAGUUAAUAAUUUGCUGUUGGUACACUGAAAAUAACAUCUCUACUUCAAACUCUUUAUUUUCUUUUUUUUUUUUUUUUUUUUUAGGGCUGUACCCACGGUGUAUGGAGGUUGCAGACGCGGCUCGGAUCCCGCGUUGCUGUGGCUCUGGUGUAGGCCGGUGGCUACAGCUCCGAUUCGACCCCUAGCCUGAGAACCUCCAUGUGCUGUGGGAGCGGCCCAAGAAAUGGCAAAAAGACAAAAAAAGAAAAAAAAAAAAAAAGAAAAGAAAGAAAAUGAGACUGUCAGAAGCUGAGUCUGGCUCAAGAUCUGCCAGGACACAUGCUGUGUGUAACUCAGUACCUUAAACGCGACACUAACAGCAGUGCCUGUGAUGGACACGAACUCCACUCCUGGACUUGAGGGGAGCCGGGGGCUCAAGAAGCUGAUGUUACACCCGGACCGAGGGUGAGGCCAGAGCUGAGCAGGAAGGGGUCUGCUUGCUUGUCCUCUGAAAUCCUUUGGGAUUAUAUAACUGAAAGGUCAAAAUUCUGCAGGCUUUUUUAAAAAGCAUGUACUAAUGGUUUAUGAAUAGAGUCUGGACAAGUUGUUUUGCGCCCUUUUUUUCCUAAUUAAGGGAUCCAAACAGAGUGGGUGGACUUGGAUUCCUCCGAGAGGUGUUUUUGACGUGCCCGGCGCGGAGGCGCAGGGAUGCCAGGGUCCGAAAGGGCCGGACCAAGAACUCAUCGCGGCGCCACUGGUGGGCUCCAGUUUGGUCCGGCAGCCCCUCCCCCGGGCCGCCCCCCAGUCCGAGGGUCGAGAUUUAUUUGGGAUCGAAUAGAAACGAGGCAUGUGCAAAGCUUACACACAUACCCUUGUUUGAAAACGGGCGGCUUGGUCUUUUCCGUGUCCUCUGUAAAGCUGAGGACUGGAAACUCAUCAGGAAGACAGAGUCAUUCACGCGAAGCGUGUGUCCUGCGAGUCAGGCUGCGAGUCAGGAAGCGCGAUGGAGGAGCCACUUCUGCCACCAGGCCAGUCGCAGAGGCGCCCGAGCUGCGCUGCGGGUCCGCCCGGCGGGCGGGCUUCCCUCUGACCGCUUGUAUUUGCUGGCUCGUGUCCGGAUAUCGGCAGCGUGGUCUCGUGAUCGUGUGCACAGGUCGUAGCCCUUAUCGAAGUAUGAAGUGGUCUGAUCACCAGCGUGUAUUACUCAGUGUUUGCAAAGCUAUGCGCUUCCAGGUAUGCUAACAUACGUUGCAAGGAAUCGGGCGCAUCCAUGUCCUGUUUCCUUUUCACCUUCACGCCUUACAGAACCUAGGACCUUCCAGAAAUAUUUUCAUGUCACGCAAGCAGAUUAUUUACAUGAGAAGCAUCCCGUCCAAUGAGCCCCGAUCCCAUUCAGUUAGGCAGCUCUUUCUUUUGUGCAUGGUAUGCAGGCACCGUGGUGCAACAGCAGAUGCCUUGUUGGCAUCACUUGAUGAAUCCAUUAUUUCAGUUUCAAUUCCACUUUCCUGACUGAACCGUAAAGAAGCCACGCUCUUUCCACUUUUGUUUCUCAUGUUCCUGUUGCCCCUGCUCCUCCAACGACCCCUUUUGUGAGAGAUGAAAUUCCACCUGCAUCCACGGAUAGAACAGCACUGUUCCAAUUUGUUUGAAUUCUUAACUGAAACACGCACUCUCGAGUCCACCACUGAGGGGGCAGAACGCCCUAGCAAGCGUUGGCCACAUGAGUGUCAGGAGAUUGCUGUGCCAGAAAGUGACGACGGGACACAGACUCUCAGAGGGGCUGAAGCAAGGUUCCUGGAAUAAGACGAGUGGUUAAUGUGUUUUUUCUAUUAAAAAUGUUAUCGGGGCCAGGACACGACAUGAGAUCUGUUCUCUGAGCGCAACUCCAUAUUGUCACCUGUAAGCACGAUGUUGAACAGCAGGUCGGUAGAAGGUAUUCAUCUUACGUAACUGAAACUUCUGUCACCCAGGAGAUCUAGCUGGUUCCCCCGUGAAGGCGGUUUGGGGGGACACGAAGAGCCGAAAAAGGGGACGCGUGACCUUAGGGCCGGCGGACGUUCGGCGCGUCCCAGGGGCUCACUCUGAAGAAGGGAAGAGAAGUGUCUGCAGGAGAGAUGAUCUCAGAACGUUUUUCAUUUGAUCGUGAACGUGGACAAAAUAUACACAGAGAUGCGGUGGUAAGUAUCUUUAUCAUUUUUUAAGUACCUCCUUCCAGGAGUGAGCGCCACCUCACUCUGGAGACGGGGAGUGCCAUCCCUAGCUAACGAGACAGGUUAUUCCUCGGAGCCAGCUGGGCGCAGGGUGAUCAGUGUGACGACAAAGUGCCAGCUCCCCUCUUCCGUUUCCGCGCCUUCCUGCAGGAUCUCCGAUGCAUUGAUCGUUUUGUCUUUGUAGGGCCGCCCUCAGCAUGUGGAAGUUCCCGGGCUAGGGGUCGCAUCGGAAUGACAGCUGCUGGCCACAGCCACAGCCGCAGCCAGGCCAGAUCCCAGCCACAUCUGCGACCUACACCACAGCUCAUGGCAACACCGGAUCCUGCACCCACUGAGCGAGGCCGGGGAUUGAACUGCGUCCUCAUGGAUCCUGGUUGGGUUUGUUACCGCUGAGCCACAACAGGACCGCCUUUUUUUUUUUUUUUUUAAUUUGUAAUUUGAUGGGUCACUUUUCACAUUUCUCAAGGUCUCGACCUAUUAUUUUCUACUUACGAAGAAUCGGACGGUGCGUGCCGGUCAUCACAUCCCCAAAUCUAAAAGAGCUGGCGGGAGAGGCAGUGCUGAUGUUAACUAACCAGAUCCUGCCUGAAUCUUGGUCCCUCUCCUGACACAAAUAGAGAAACUCUCUAGGCGCUGAACGGUGUAUGUCCUUAUGAUGCAGUUUCCCAGUCACGUAGGACUGGACCUUGGGAGAACCUGCCUCUAUGGCUAAUGUUUUUGUUUUUAACGGAAGUAUAAUUUACGGUGGUAAAGUGAGCGACAUAUGAAUGGAGAGCUCGGAGUAUCAUCGCAAAACAAAGCCCUGUAAUUAACAUUCCCUUCAAGAAACACAGUAUCUCCAGCUUCCCAGACCCAUCCUGUGCUCUGCCCGCCCCCCCAUCUCUAACCCUUCACCCUCCCCUGAGGUAUCCACUACCCCAGAUGGGGGCUAUGGUUCCGUCUUCCUGGUGUAAACGUUAUGCAAGUGGAAUCACAAGAGUCUCUACUAUUUGGGGAUGGGGUUUUGCCCUCGGUGUUAUGGACAUAAGAUUCAUCCAUGCUGUUUCAUGUAGCUUCACUUUGUUCAUUUUUAUUGCUCUGUCGAAUUCCACUGCGUGCAUAUAGCACAUGUAUUUAUUCUUUCUGCUCAGGAUGGGCAUGUGGAAUUGCUUCUAAUUGUCGGCUGUUGUGGAGAGUGGUGCUAAGGAAUAUUCAUUCAGAUACGCGUCUCAUGGUGCCCGUGUGUGUGCGUUUCUGUUUAGUACGUACUUAGAUGUACAAUUGCCAAGUCGCCAGGAAUGGCCGUGGUCAGCUUUGCCAGACGUGAAAACGCUUCCUGACGUGGUUGCAUCGGUUUAGAGGCCCUAGUAACCACGAGCAUCCCCUUUGCUCCGCAUCCCUGCCGAGACUUUGUGUUAUCUCUCUGUGACAUUUUACUUACUCUUCUGGGUUCUUAGCGAUAUUUCACUAUGGUUUUAAUUAGCAUUUUCCUGGUAAAUAAUGAAACUGAGUAUUUUUCAUUUGUUUAUUGGCCAUUUGGAUAUAUUCUCUUUUGUGAAAUGCCUAUUCCAGUCUCUUGCCUAUUUUUCCAUUGGAUAUUCCAUACAUUUUUCUUCCUGAUUUAUUGGAAUCCCUCAUACACUCUGAGUGUGAGCCUGUCGCCAGUUAUGGCUGAGACGUAUUUUUCUUCUUCCGAUACAUGGAUUGCCUUUUGCUUUCUUUUCUUUUCUUUUUUUUUUUUCAUCCUUUUGUUGCUGGAAUGUAAAAAUCAAUUUUUAAAAUUAUACUUUGUAACAAAUGAGUUUUCUAGGCUCAUUAUUUCUAAUACUUUCUCUGUAGAUUUUUUUUUGGAUUUUCUAUGUAAAAAGUCAUAUUGUCUGUGAAGGAGGAGUUUUGUUUCUUGUUCAUUGCAUUUUUAAAUUUGUUUUCCCCACUUUAUCGAACUGGUUAGGAAUGCCAUGUGUCUGGUAGUGCUGGAAGGUAUAUGCAUCUCCUCCUCAGUCCCAGAGAAAUGCUUUCAGUGCUUCCCCAUUAAGGGUGACGCUUGUGAGAGGCUCUUUUUUGGGCCGCCUUUUAUCACAUUAAGAUCAUUUCUUUCUAUUUCUAGCUUUUGCUGAGAGUAUUUGUCAUGAGUGGAUGCUAAAUAUUAUCUAACGACUUUCUACAUAUUCUAGAGAUAAUCAUAUGGGGAUUUUUUUGCCUUUGAUUCUAAGAACAUAAUAAAUUACGCUCAUCAAUUUUUGAAUGUUAACUCAAUCUGGCAGUUCCAUUAAUCUAAUCCUUUUGUAAUGUAUCAUCCUUUUCAUAGACUGUUGGAUUCUGUUUGCCAGUAUUUCGUUUGGGGUUUUCCUCUCUAAAUUGUGAGUGAGGGGGAGUUCCCGUCGUGGCGCAGUGGUUAACGAAUCCGACUAGGAACCAUGCGGUUGCGGGUU
This 8307-nucleotide long non-coding RNA is filed under the name Sus scrofa (pig). Its description in RNAcentral is "lncRNA (ENSSSCG00025004303.1)". The record is from RNAcentral. Lineage: Eukaryota; Metazoa; Chordata; Mammalia; Artiodactyla; Suidae.